GUGCCAGCCGCCGCGGUAACACCCGCGGCUCGAGUGGUGACCAUUAUUAUUGAGCUUAAAGUGUUCGUAGCCGGUCUGGUAAAUCUCUGGGUAAAUCGGACGGCUCAACCGUUCGAAUACCAGGGAGACUGCUAGACUUGGGACCGGGAGAGGCCAGAGGUACUUUUGGGGUGGAAGUAAAAUUCUGUAAUCCUAAAAGGACCACCAGUGGCGCAAGCGUCUGGCUAGAACGGAUCCGACGGUGAGGGACGAAGCCCUGGGCGCGAACCGGAUUAGAAACCCCAGUAGUCC
RNAcentral lists this ribosomal RNA (291 nucleotides) under uncultured bacterium. Its description in RNAcentral is "partial 16S ribosomal RNA". It matches the Rfam family "Archaeal small subunit ribosomal RNA", at positions 455 to 747 of the family's 1478-position model. The record is from RNAcentral.